RNAcentral lists this ribosomal RNA (598 nucleotides) under Cephalobidae environmental sample. Its description in RNAcentral is "SSU rRNA". It matches the Rfam family "Eukaryotic small subunit ribosomal RNA", at positions 1024 to 1643 of the family's 1831-position model. The record is from RNAcentral. Lineage: Eukaryota; Metazoa; Nematoda; Chromadorea; Rhabditida; Cephalobidae.
UUCUGACCGUAAACGAUGCCAACUAGCGAUCCGCCGGUGGAUUUUUAGCCCUGGUGGGUAGCUUCCCGGAAACGAAAGUCUUCCGGUUCCGGGGGAAGUAUGGUUGCAAAGCUGAAACUUAAAGGAAUUGACGGAAGGGCACCACCAGGAGUGGAGCCUGCGGCUUAAUUUGACUCAACACGGGGAAACUCACCCGGCCCGGACACCGUAAGGAUUGACAGAUUGAUAGCUCUUUCAUGAUUCGGUGGUUGGUGGUGCAUGGCCGUUCUUAGUUCGUGGAUCGAUUUGUCUGGUUUAUUCCGAUAACGAGCGAGACUCUAGCCUACUAAAUAGUAGCGGGAUUGUUUCUGACUUGUCCUAGUUGCUUCUUAGAGGGAUUUUCGGUGUUUAGCCGCACGAGAUUGAGCAAUAACAGGUCUGUGAUGCCCUUAGAUGUCCGGGGCUGCACGCGCGCUACACUGGCGAAAUCAGCGUGCUUUAACCAUUCUCGAAAGGGAUUGGUAAACCCAUGAAAAUUUGCCGUGCUUGGGAUCGGAAAUUGCAAUUAUUUUCCGUGAACGAGGAAUUCCAAGUAAGUGCGAGUCAUCAACUCGCUCUG